GCCCGCCUAGCUCAAUCGGAUAGAGCGUCAGACUCUUAUGUUAGGCGGUCGAUUCCCCUCGUCGCCGGCCGGGAAUCUGAAGGCUGCGAGUUCGACCCUCGCGGUGGGCU
Molecule: transfer RNA, 110 nt
Filed under: Schizophyllum commune Tattone D
Lineage: Eukaryota; Fungi; Basidiomycota; Agaricomycetes; Agaricales; Schizophyllaceae
Description: tRNA-Lys
Rfam family: tRNA
About the family: Transfer RNA (tRNA) molecules are approximately 80 nucleotides in length. Their secondary structure includes four short double-helical elements and three loops (D, anti-codon, and T loops).
Source: RNAcentral